RNAcentral lists this ribosomal RNA (253 nucleotides) under uncultured bacterium. RNAcentral describes it as "partial 16S ribosomal RNA". It matches the Rfam family "Bacterial small subunit ribosomal RNA", at positions 524 to 776 of the family's 1533-position model. The record is from RNAcentral.
UACGAAGGUCCCAAGCGUUAUCCGGAAUUAUUGGGCGUAAAGCGUCCGCAGGUGGACAUACAAGUCUGCUGUCAAAGUGCAGAGCUUAACUCUGUAAAGGCGGUGGAAACUGUAGGUCUUGAGUAUGGUAGGGGUAGAGGGAAUUCCCGGUGUAGCGGUGAAAUGCGUAGAUAUCGGGAAGAACACCAGUGGCGAAAGCGCUCUACUGGGCCAUAACUGACACUGAGGGACGAAAGCUAGGGGAGCGAAAGGG